This 311-nucleotide ribosomal RNA is filed under the name uncultured Spirotrichea. RNAcentral's name for it is "SSU rRNA". It matches the Rfam family "Eukaryotic small subunit ribosomal RNA", at positions 155 to 469 of the family's 1831-position model. Lineage: Eukaryota; Ciliophora; Spirotrichea. The record is from RNAcentral.
AUUCUAGAGCUAAUACAUGCUGCUAAGCCUGACUUUUUGAAGGGCUGUAUUUAUUAGAUAACAGACCAAUAUUCCUCGUGUCUAUUGUGGUGAAUCAUAGUAACUGAUCGGAUCGCAUGGGCUUGCCCGCGACAAACCAUUCAAGUUUCUGCCCCAUCAGCUUUCGAUGGUAGUGUAUUGGACUACCAUGGCUUUUACGGGUAACGGAGGAUUAGGGUUCGAUUCCGGAGAGGGAGCCUGAGAAACGGCUACCACAUCUAAGGAAGGCAGCAGGCGCGUAAAUUACCCAAUCCUGACUCAGGGAGGUAGUG